AACAAAUGACGAAUGUUUUGGUCCCAAAUGAUGGUCAGUGAUUACCUCCUUGAGAUCGUUCCGAUGUU
This is a small nucleolar RNA of Hyla sarda, 68 nucleotides long. RefSeq annotates it as small nucleolar RNA SNORD73. The transcript has a single exon. NCBI's taxonomy places the organism in Eukaryota, Metazoa, Chordata, Amphibia, Anura, Hylidae. The record is from RefSeq and is a predicted model, not a curated record.